RNAcentral lists this ribosomal RNA (253 nucleotides) under uncultured bacterium. Its description in RNAcentral is "partial 16S ribosomal RNA". It matches the Rfam family "Bacterial small subunit ribosomal RNA", at positions 524 to 776 of the family's 1533-position model. The record is from RNAcentral.
UACGUAGGUGGCGAGCGUUGUCCGGAUUUACUGGGCGUAAAGAGCGCGCAGGCGGUCGUCCAAGUCGCGUGUGAAAGCCCCCGGCUCAACUGGGGAGGGUCACGCGAUACUGAUCGACUCGAAGGCAGGAGAGGGAAGCGGAAUUCCCGGUGUAGUGGUGAAAUGCGUAGAUAUCUGGAGGAACACCGGUGGUGUAGACGGCUUUCUGGACCGUAACUGACGCUGAGACACGAAAGCGUGGGUAGCAAACAGG